This is a long non-coding RNA of Prionailurus viverrinus (fishing cat), 897 nucleotides long. RefSeq lists it as uncharacterized. Lineage: Eukaryota; Metazoa; Chordata; Mammalia; Carnivora; Felidae. The transcript is spliced from 4 exons. The record is from RefSeq and is a predicted model, not a curated record.
CGCACCCACAGCUUCCCAGCCGCCUUUUGUCGUCUCGAUCCAGGGUCUCUGGCUUUGCCGUCCCGGUUUCCAAUGGGAAUGGGCAGAGGUCUCUAGCUGGUGGGACAGUUUUUCGAAGGAAUGUUCGGGUGUUGAAGAGAUUUUGUGUCUCCAGGGAGUCGGAGUGACUUGAUACGUCAGAGCAGUUCUGCAGUGUGUAUGCAGUGGUUCUUCGUGGAGCGCGGUGAGUCCUAUGAGCAGACAGAGAACAAGAGCAUAUUAGGUCUUCAAGUCAUGGCAGAGACAAAAGCCUUGGCAACUGGGUAACUCCCUGAACGAUAAUCCAGUGUUGGAUCUCCUGACUCUACCAUAUAUCAGCGGAUGGCCACGGGCAAGUUGCUGAACUUCUCUGAGCCUCAGGUUUCUCAUCUGCUUUCGGAAUAAGUGGAGGGAGAAGAAGGUGAAAAGAGUUGGAACUGACAAUAAAACUGCAGCGCCCUGGAGAGGGGGCCUUCCUGGAAGCUACAUAAGUCUCCCUGAUGGAAGGAAAUCUUAGCGACUUUGGAAACGACUCAAGUUUGCUGUCAUGUUCACAUGUGGUGGUCGUGACGGUCAGGGCCAGGGGGAGGCUGCACCUUAGUGAACAGCUUGGGUGAAUGAGGGCUGUACUAAACUCACCGAUGUGAGAAAUGCCAAGUUUUCCAGAUAAUAGGUGGCACCUUAGAUGUCAGAGUCCACUGCAAAUAAUAGUUCGUGCUCAGUUAGUUAUGGGUACUAAGUAAAUAUUAAUAGAAACUGAUAAGAUCAUGAUUUGGAGAAAAACAGAAGAGCAGUAAGUAGAUUGUGACAAGUUGCUGUGUAAUUACCUUUCAUCUUUUGGGGUAAAGGAGAACUGAAUAAAGCCACUCAUGUUACCUA